Long non-coding RNA from Engraulis encrasicolus (European anchovy), 818 nucleotides. RefSeq lists it as uncharacterized. The record is from RefSeq and is a predicted model, not a curated record. NCBI's taxonomy places the organism in Eukaryota, Metazoa, Chordata, Actinopteri, Clupeiformes, Engraulidae. The transcript is spliced from 4 exons.
CAGUUUUCCCUGAGGUCCAAAAUAUUCAGUGGAGUGAAACUGUUGAUGGAAGUACAGUGCAUUACCAGGCGAAUACACCGGUGGCGACAAGAUCAAGCGACAGAGAAUCGCUGGACUGUGCAGCAAGAGUGAUAGAAGUAUGUCCGUUAAAAGCAGAAUGCAAGCAGUCCAACAUUCCAAUUGGCUGUGGCGACUGUUGCAAUACCACAUCAUAGCUAAUUUGAAUAAUAAGUAAAACUACAAACUGUCGCUCAAGUCGCGCGAAUUGCCUCUAGUUGCCCGAAUCACUUUUGUUGCGCGACUCAAUGCAAAGUCAAUUACUUCCGUCGCUGGAAUCGCUGAUGUAGUGCUUGGUCUAUUUGUGACGGAUAUGUUGUGGUAGGCUAUUCACCUUCUAUUCUUGCUAUGGUUCAUUCUUCUGUUUCAGCAGCAAAAUGUAACAAGCUUGUCCUGGAGGACUGCUCUGAUGGGGAAUGCUGUGGAGGAGAGACAGGCAGACUGUGGUCCAUCGUGUGUGCUCCCAGUGCGUUAAUACACGGACAGUCCUUUUUAAGUGCAACCAGAGGAAUAAUGUGAUUGAGAGGAAGAGUGGCCCCAUACAUUGCUUGACCUGGAGCCUACCAAAGUCUAAGGUCUCAGGUGUCUCCAGAAGAACACAUCCCAAUGAAGACCCCAGUCAUAGUCAUCAACUUGACAGCUCAGCCUGUUACUUGAACUGUGUUCUUAGAGCCAAGUGUAACUGAGGUGUUUCCACACAGUCUGUCCCCCUUAGAUCUUGAACUUGCCACCACCUAGUCAACGCAUCGGUUCGGGUAUGG